This 290-nucleotide long non-coding RNA is filed under the name Musa acuminata (dwarf banana). RNAcentral describes it as "long non-coding RNA (MACU_LNC002043)". Lineage: Eukaryota; Viridiplantae; Streptophyta; Magnoliopsida; Zingiberales; Musaceae. The record is from RNAcentral.
UGCUAGUGUUGUGGUUUCGACUAGGAGUAGAUGAGGUAGGUUGCCUGCUAAUCACUUGUUUAUUGGCACCUCUGUUUUGACGAUAUUCCACACUGAUUUUUUCUUCAUGUAGGCGUGCAAAUGAAAUCGCAGCCAUCAUAGUGCGGGGUUGACGAGCCUUAACCUCGCACCGGAUCUCGGGAAUAAGCCCUUCAAUAAAUGUACCCAGAAGUUGUCGUUUUGACCAAUCUCUAGCUUGGUUGGAUAAUCUUUCAAAUCUACUCUGAUACUCCAAUACUGUAGAAGUCUGA